CGGGAAAGUCUUGCACGACCAGCUCCCUCUGAAGUCCCCCAGGACAGGAAUGUAGCAAGGGUAGGAGGUCGUAGCGGUGCGAUGCAAGGAGCUUUCCCU
This 99-nucleotide signal recognition particle RNA is filed under the name bovine gut metagenome. Its description in RNAcentral is "Bacteroidales small SRP". It matches the Rfam family "Bacteroidales small SRP", at positions 8 to 103 of the family's 107-position model. From Rfam's summary of the family: The non-coding component of the signal recognition particle in Bacteroides The record is from RNAcentral.